RNAcentral lists this ribosomal RNA (254 nucleotides) under uncultured bacterium. RNAcentral's name for it is "partial 16S ribosomal RNA". It matches the Rfam family "Bacterial small subunit ribosomal RNA", at positions 524 to 776 of the family's 1533-position model. The record is from RNAcentral.
UACGUAGGGUGCAAGCGUUGUCCGGAAUUAUUGGGCGUAAAGAGCUCGUAGGCGGUGUGUCACGUCGGCCGUGAAAACCUGGGGCUUAACUCUGGGCGUGCGGUCGAUACGGGCAUCACUAGAGUUCGGCAGGGGAGACUGGAAUUCCUGGUGUAGCGGUGAAAUGCGUAGAUAUCUGGAGGAACACCGGUGGCGAAGGCGGCGUCCUGGACCAACACUGACACUGAUGAGCGAAAGCCAGGGGAGCAAACGGG